This 422-nucleotide ribosomal RNA is filed under the name uncultured archaeon. Its description in RNAcentral is "partial 16S ribosomal RNA". It matches the Rfam family "Archaeal small subunit ribosomal RNA", at positions 323 to 746 of the family's 1478-position model. The record is from RNAcentral.
CUACGGGCCGCAGCAGGCGAGAAAACUUUGCAAUGUGCGAAAGCACGACAAGGUUAAUCCGAGUGGUUUGUGCUAAACGAACCUUUUGACAGUCCUAGAAACACUGUUGAAUAAGGGGUGGGCAAGUUCUGGUGUCAGCCACCGCGGUAAAACCAGCACCUCAAGUGGUCAGGAUGAUUAUUGGGCCUAAAGCAUCCGUAGCCGGCUCUGUAAGUUUUCGGUUAAAUCUGUACGCUCAACGUACAGGCUGCCGGGAAUACUGCAGAGCUAGGGAGUGGGAGAGGUAGACGGUACUCGGUAGGAAGGGGUAAAAUCCUUUGAUCUAUUGAUGACCACCUGAGGCGAAGGCGGUCUACCAGAACACGUCCGACGGUGAGGGAUGAAAGCUGGGGGAGCAAACCGGAUUAGAUACCCCCGUAGUC